AUUGAACGCUGGCGGCAGGCCUAACACAUGCAAGUCGAGCGGAGGAAGGGAGCUUGCUCCUGGAUUCAGCGGCGGACGGGUGAGUAAUGCCUAGGAAUCUGCCUGGUAGUGGGGGAUAACGUCCGGAAACGGGCGCUAAUACCGCAUACGGCCUGAGGGAGAAAGUGGGGGAUCUUCGGACCUCACGCUAUCAUAUGAGCCUAGGUCGGAUUAGCUAGUUGGUGGGGUAAAGGCCUACCAAGGCGACGAUCCGUAACUGGUCUGAGAGGAUGAUCAGUCACACUGGAACUGAGACACGGUCCAGACUCCUACGGGAGGCAGCAGUGGGGAAUAUUGGACAAUGGGCGAAAGCCUGAUCCAGCCAUGCCGCGUGUGUGAAGAAGGUCUUCGGAUUGUAAAGCACUUUAAGUUGGGAGGAAGGGCAGUAAGUUAAUACCUUGCUGUUUUGACGUUACCAACAGAAUAAGCACCGGCUAACUUCGUG
RNAcentral lists this ribosomal RNA (484 nucleotides) under uncultured bacterium. RNAcentral describes it as "partial 16S ribosomal RNA". It matches the Rfam family "Bacterial small subunit ribosomal RNA", at positions 30 to 507 of the family's 1533-position model. The record is from RNAcentral.